This is a non-coding RNA of Podarcis lilfordi (Lilford's wall lizard), 70 nucleotides long. The record is from the annotation of a GenBank genome assembly. Lineage: Eukaryota; Metazoa; Chordata; Lepidosauria; Squamata; Lacertidae.
GCUGUAGCACAGUGGUUAGAGCAGCUGGUUUGCAUGCAGAAGGUCCCAGGUUCAAUCCCUGGUGGCAGCA